Erinaceus europaeus (western European hedgehog) is the source of this 312-nucleotide unclassified non-coding RNA. Its record names the gene 7SK. It matches the Rfam family "7SK RNA". Rfam says of the family: 7SK was discovered as an abundant small nuclear RNA in the mid-70s but a possible function has only recently been suggested. Two independent studies have found that 7SK RNA binds the CDK9/cyclin T complex (known as elongation factor P-TEFb). P-TEFb activates transcription by phosphorylating the C-terminal domain of RNA polymerase II. The record is from Ensembl. Lineage: Eukaryota; Metazoa; Chordata; Mammalia; Eulipotyphla; Erinaceidae.
GGAUGUGAGGCUGAUCUGACUGUGACAUCUGUCACCCCAUUGAUCGCCAGGGUUGAUUCAGCUGAUCUGGCUGGCUAGGUGGGUGACCCAUUCCUCUCUCACUGCUCCAUGUGUGUCCCUCUCAAAGCUGCAUACUCUGUCAAAGAGGAAGGCCUUCCUUGAAUAGAGUCGGACCAGUCUUCAGUUGAGAGUAUCUGCACUCUCCUGCUAGAACCUCCAAACAAGCUCUCAAGGUUCAUUCUAGAACCUUGAGUGAAUCUUGAAUGGACAGGUCUUUGUUCUCAUACCACUGACCGUGUGCUGUCCAUAGAG